GCACAGAGUUAGCCAGUGCUUCUUCUGUAGGUAACGUCAAUACUUAUGGGUAUUAGCCAUAAAUCUUUCUUCCCCACUGAAAGUGCUUUACAACCCGAAGGCCUUCUUCACACACGCGGCAUUGCUGGAUCAGGCUUUCGCCCAUUGUCCAAUAUUCCCCACUGCUGCCUCCCGUAGGAGUCUGGGCCGUGUCUCAGUCCCAGUGUGGCUGAUCGUCCUCUCAGACCAGCUACGGAUCGUCGCCUUGGUAGGCCAUUACCCCACCAACAAGCUAAUCCGACGUAGGCUCAUCUUAUAGCAUAAGGCCCGAAGGUCCCCUACUUUGCUCCGUAGAGAUUAUGCGGUAUUAGCCCGAGUUUCCCCGGGUUAUCCCCCACUAUAAGGUAGAUUCCUACGCAUUACUCACCCGUCCGCCACUCGUCAGCGACUAGCAAGCUAGUCCUGUUACCGUUCGACUUGCAUGUGUUAAGCAUGCCGCUAGCGUUCAAU
RNAcentral lists this ribosomal RNA (489 nucleotides) under uncultured bacterium. RNAcentral describes it as "partial 16S rRNA". The record is from RNAcentral.